Molecule: long non-coding RNA, 1412 nt
Organism: Vespa mandarinia (Asian giant hornet)
Lineage: Eukaryota; Metazoa; Arthropoda; Insecta; Hymenoptera; Vespidae
Source: RefSeq, a predicted model, not a curated record
ACCUUCCGCUGAACUAUCGUAUUGGAGACCUUGGCCCGUAUUCUCCUAGUGCCUUACUUUUAGUAUUAAAGUGCGCAAUAUAUAGUGCUAUUUAGAUGAUGGUACGAUUGUGUCCUUUCUUGUUUCCUUUCUUACAUGUAAAUACAUCGAAGAUGAUUAGUUCAUGUACCUUGCGGUGCAUGAACUAAUGUGUACCCGCAGCAUCCCUGGGUUUGACGCAUCAUUGAAUAAAUUGAGCAUAGACAUAUUUAGGACAUUGUCAUUGAUUUUCUUUCAAUGUAGACACAUCUCAAUACUGACAAACUAGGUGGUUCACGUAGUUAGAAUACCUGUUGUUUGUUGAUAUUUAAAAAAAAAAUACACUGUAUGAUUAUUAUUUUUUCAUAAAAAGAAUAAAUUAAAAAUAUUGUCAAUUUAGCUCUAGAGGAGGUAUGAAUUAAAAAAAAAAAAAAAAAAAAAAAUUCUUAUUAAAUAAACAUUUCAGUCGGUAUUGAUUUAUGGAUUGAAAUAAAAUGUUUGUAUGGUUCAGUGUUUUAAAAAGUAAAGAUUAGGGCUGUCGAGUAAUAACAAUAAUGUAGUAAUAACGGUACAUUAAUAUUACAUCAAGAGAGAGAUAUAUAUAUAUAUAUAGUAUAUGUAACUAUAUAUAUAUAAAUAUAUACAGAGUUUAACCUAACAUUUUGACAUUUACAUAUAUUUAUGAUUUUCAUUUAUACUUUUUAACGUAAAUAUAAACAAGGUAAAAAAGAUGUUAACGUUUGACAAAGCAAAUAUAGCGAUCUCUCCUCUUCCAGCUGAAAUCAUUUUAACUUAAUAUAAUAGCAUAAUCACAAUGUACACUCUACAUUCACAUAUUGAAUCUACGACAAUAAUGUGAGUGCGACACUAUUAAUUUUAUGAGACCUGUUUUCUUUCUAACAAUUUCCACAGUUUUAAAAACUUAAAACAAAAUUAUCGCAGUCUAUGAUAUAUAUAUAUAUGUGUGUGUGUGUGUAUGUAUGUGUGUGUAUGUAUGUAUUUGGACUAUACAAGAUUAUAUAACAAAAGUAUAACUUGUAUUAUUCUAUCAGUCACUUGCACGAUUUAAAUUAGAAUAAUGAUCAAGCUGAGGUGCUACUGUAAACAUGCUUGGACCUUCUCAAUCCAUUCUUGUGCAGUUGCUGCGUCACCAGCACAAAAAUUGUAUGUCCUUCGAUUUGUACGGAGCUAAAAAUAUGAAGAAACAUUUAAAAUAUCAUGUAAUAUAUAAGAAGAAUGUUAUUUGUAUGCUUUACAUCAAAAAAUGAUUUGUCAUCUGUUUUCUUUGGCGGCCCUGGCAUUGGUGCAGCUGGAGUAACAGACACAACUUCUGCCAAAUCUGUAAUGUUAAUAUAUUUGGAUAAAUUCAAUAAAAUUUAUUAAUCGUCCAUAAA